This is a long non-coding RNA of Esox lucius (northern pike), 1349 nucleotides long. The record is from Ensembl. Lineage: Eukaryota; Metazoa; Chordata; Actinopteri; Esociformes; Esocidae.
CAGAUAUCUUUCGUGAGGUCUUGUUUAUCGCUCUAUCUGCAGCGCUGUUCUUGCAACGUCAUUUCGCUGACUCUACAUUUAAUUCAUAGCAUUUCGGUCCCUUCUCCUGAAAACACGCUUUCCAAUGUAAAGAUACUCAACGUAGUGGUGAAAUUGAACUCCCUUUUCAACUUUGCGGAGGCAAAUGUAAUCUGCCGAUCUCUGAAAGCGCUUAGGCCUAAUUGCUUAAUGACACAAAUCCCAUCUCUCAACCACCACAUGCUAUACCUUGACUAUAAUGUCCUCUAUCGUGCUUGUAAAUAAUACAAAGUGAUGUUUUGGCUUAUUUUACCAUGUCCUCCUGAAGUACACAAGUGAGCCCUGCUGUUCUUAGCCCCUCUGCUUUUUGUAGGUCGUUAGACCCAUGAUCUGCUGAUAGGUGUUGUGGGGACAGUGUAGGAGACUGCUGUGCCUAGGUAAGUAAGCCGGGGUGUCAUGUCCUACAACGAAGAUGUAGGAGGUAAUGUUAAUCUUUACAGAUUCAUGCUUUAUAGACUGAGAAUGGAUUGUGUGUACUUCACGUCCUGUUUUGAGGACACUUCCAACAUUUAGUGUCUUGAGGUUCUUAGUCUGUCCAACUCGUCCCCAUCUUAUUUCUCAUCUUCCUCUUUUAGGCCACUUUGAGCUGGAUGUACGGAAGUGGAGUUCUGCUUAAGGUAUUGGCAUAUAGAUUUUGCAGAAUCGGUAAACUGAUGUUGAUGUAAAAACAAACGUGGAACUAUUGGAAUGUUACAUCACUGCCCCUUAUUUUUGUACUGCAGCAAUGGAAUCGUUUCAUGUGGGGUGAUUUGACUUGAAUAUAGUGCAGUAAGUAGUUAAUACUUGUGCAAUUCCCUAGAUAUGUGGGUAAUCAAUGUUUUGGGAAUCUUCCAGGGACUAGUUGCUAGUAAAUGUUCAGGUUUGAUUGGAUGGACCAACUUUCCCCAUGCUUAGUUUUCCCUUCUCUUCCCCUCUAAGCCACUGUUUUCUUUCCAGGGGUCGGCAGCUGGUCCUAAAUUCCUGGUGGUCCUGAAGCCCUGACCCGGCUUGUCAGGAUUGUAUGCUGUGAAUGGCUUCCACGGCCACCCGGUCAGAUGGAUCUGUAUGUAGGAGCUGCAGUAGCACGCCGAAGGCUUUGAGCGAGCCCAUCUCGAAGAAAGAUCACUGACUACCACAUGACAGUAGUUAUCUCCUGACCAAAUAGGUUUUCUCAAGUUCAUUUGGUUACAUUGACCUUUGACAUUUGACUCAUGUGUUUGUGUUAUCAUGCUGCAAUGCAAAGACAUUACAACUCAAAAGCACUGUAUUAAAAUAUUGCAUUUGCCUAACCA